Long non-coding RNA from Mytilus californianus (California mussel), 884 nucleotides. RefSeq lists it as uncharacterized. The record is from RefSeq and is a predicted model, not a curated record. Lineage: Eukaryota; Metazoa; Mollusca; Bivalvia; Mytilida; Mytilidae. The transcript is spliced from 2 exons.
UUGAAGUACAAUUUCAGAAAGAUCCAUACACUUACACACAGUUAUUGUCAUGAAACUAGAACAAGAGUGCACACACUGAAAUGUCUCGCCUUCUUUACUAACCAUUGAUUUUAUGUUGAUAGUCCUAAAUAUAAAGCUUUACUACAAGUAACAUAUAAACUUAACAUGAUCCAAGAAAAUGAGGUCAAGGUCAGAUAAACCAAAAGAGAAAUACAUGUACACCUUACAAUCAUUCAAUAAACCAAACAUAGAUGACCUUGCUUAUAGUUUCUAAGAAACAGUCUUAACCAAGAAAACUUAACAUUGACCAAUGAACCAUGAAAAUGAGGUCAAGGUCAGAUGAAACAUGCCAGGCAGACAUGUACACCUUACAAUCAAUUUAUGCAUUAAAUAUAGUUGACCUAUUGCUUAUAGUAUCUAAGAAACAAACUUAACCAUGAAAACUUAACACUGACCAAUGAACCAUGAAAAUGAGGUCAAGGUCAGAUGAUACCUGACAGACAGACAUAUACACCUUACAGUCCUUCCAUACAACAAAUAUAGUUGAUCUAUUGCUUAUAGUUGAAGAAAAACAGACCAAAACACAAAAACUUUACACUGAGAAAUGAACCUUGAAAAUGAGGUCAAGGUCAAAUAAAACCUGCGAGACUGACAUGUACAUCAUAAAAUAUUUCCAUACACCAAAUAUAGUUGACCUAUUGCAUAUAGUAUUAGAAAAAAAGACCAAAACUCAAAAACUUAACUUUGACCACUGAACCAUGAAAAUGAGGUUAAGGUCAGAUGACACCUGCCAGCUAGACAUGUACACCUUACAAUCAUUCCAUACACCAAAUAUAGUAGACCUAUUGCAUACAGUAUAAGAAAAACAGACCAAAACACAAAAA